AUGCAACGCAGAGAUGCGGAAAAAAGCUGCAAGGAUUGUGUGCAUAUCCGUUUGAAACAGUUCCCUGGAGGGAUCAGAUGCAUAUCUUCCCUGCUGGAUGCCUCUCUGCAUGAGGUGGAUGAAUACAAGCAGCUCAUGCUGCAAGGCUUGUUUAUUAUUGAGAAGCUCGCCACCGACGAGGACAACUGCAGAGUCAUGAGCCACAUAAAUGGUCUAGUUUGCAUGAUCAUGAGGCCUCUAAGCCGCGACCUACUGCACCGUGUUAAUCAUGGUGAAUGGUCCGAUGUUGUAGAUGCAUCACUGCGAUUGACGUGCACCUGGCUCAAUACUGCUACAGGAAAGAGUGGCGAAAAGCUGUGCAGCCAAAUCAUAGUGAACAAGGAAGCAAUCAGCGCCAUGCUGACCAUUCUCGUCUGUGAUAAUUGUCAUAAAGAACGGCUUAUACUAGCCAUGAAGGUUCUUCUCAUCACAAAAAUACAAGGCCAAGAAAAUAUCGUCGUGCAGCUACUAGGCAUCUUUCUUGGUUACAGGAAGGAUGAUUACAUCACAGGAUUGGCUGGUGAAAAGCUUCUCAUGCUCUCCAAAGAGAGCAAAAUCAACGCAAAGACCAUCUUAGAAGGAAAGAUCAUCCUAGAACAAAAUGGCGAUUCUGCUCAGAGGAUUAUCGGAGCAUUAUAUUUUGAGGAAAGGAAUAAAUUCAGAAUAUGUGCAGCAGGGAUCCUGGAGGGUCUAUGUAGUCACUACAUCUUGCUCUUGAAAAUGCUUCCUGCACAGCGGCAGAGAGCAAGAAAUGUCUCACUGGAUGCUGAUGUAGAAAGGCAAAACACUAGUGUUGUUUCAUCAUUAGAUAAUGCCCAAAAUGGUGUGCAACCCGAGGAUAAGGAACUGCAAGCAGCCUUGCUGUCUCUAUGCUUCACGGCAUACCACAAAAUGAUCGAUAAAGAAGAUGAUUUACCUCCUCUGCUUGACGCAGUUCGCUUGAAAGAUCCUCAGUUUAACUUACCGGAGAGGCUCAUUGAAUUGGUAGAAAGGAACAGCGACUCCACGGUGGUGGACUGCCUCAGAAUCGUGAAAUAUACUGCUAAGAUGGCCAAAUCCAUGAUAAGACACAAGCAUUUCUACUCUGACCAAGACCUUGGUAGAUUGAUGAACUCACUGGACAAAGCUUGCAGAGACAUGAGCCAUGUUGACGCCUUUGAGCAUUUAUCUGGAGGCGAUGAUGCUGAUACUCUCAGUACCCUCGUGCAAGAAGCACGUAAACUGUUUCAUCCAAUGGAACAAAGACAGAAACCUGAGGUUUCAAUCAAGGGAAAAGAAUAUGAAAUUACUGAGCAGGGGCAGUCCUCAUCAGGUUCAAGCGAUAGUGAUAUUCUCGGUUACCUGCGUGUACUGUUUCGUCAACCGGAAGAAGAACAGCAACCUGAGGUUUCAAGUAAGGAAAAAAUAGUCUGA
RNAcentral lists this ribosomal RNA (1452 nucleotides) under Triticum aestivum (bread wheat). Its description in RNAcentral is "partial small subunit ribosomal RNA". Lineage: Eukaryota; Viridiplantae; Streptophyta; Magnoliopsida; Poales; Poaceae. The record is from RNAcentral.